AAAUUUGACUGUACCCUCAGAGAAAGCCCCGGCUAACUACGUGGCCAGCAGCCGCGGUAAUACGUAGGGGGCAAGCGUUGUCCGGAUUCACUGGGUGUAAAGGGCGCGCAGGCGGGUUAAUAAGUCAGAGGUGAAAUCCUACAGCUCAACUGUAGAACUGCCUUUGAUACUGUUAAUCUUGAGUUCGGAAGAGAGAGACGGAAUUCCAGGUGUAGUGGUGAAAUACGUAGAUAUCUGGAAGAACACCAGUAGCGAAGGCGGUCUCUUGGUCCGAUACUGACGCUCAGGCGCGAAAGCGUGGGUAGCAAACAGGAUUAGAUACCCUGGUAGUCCACGCUGUAAACUAUGAAUACUAGGUGUUGGUCCCAUUGGGGUCAGUGCCGCAGCUAACGCAUUAAGUAUUCCACCUGGGGAGUACGAUCGCAAGGUUGAAACUCAAAGGAAUUGACGGGGGCCCGCACAAGCAGUGGAGCAUGUGGUUUAAUUCGAUGCAACGCGAAGAACCUUACCUAGGCUUGAAACGCAAGUGACGGGGUAUGAAAGUACCCCUCCAGCAAUGGCAUUUGUACAGGUGCUGCAUGGCUGUCGUCAGCUCGUGCCGUGAGGUGUUGGGUUAAGUCCCGCAACGAGCGCAACCCUUACUAUUAGUUGCCAUCAGGUAAUGCUGAGCACUCUAAUAGGACUGCCUACGCAAGUAGUGAGGAAGGUGGGGAUGACGUCAAGUCCGCAUGGCCCUUACGCCUAGGGCUACACACGUGCUACAAUGGAUGUUACAAUGGGUAGCGAAACCGCAAGGUGGAGCCAAUCCACUAAAGGCAUCCCCAGUUCGGAUUGGAGUCUGCAACUCGACUCCAUGAAGUUGGAAUUGCUAGUAAUCGCGGAUCAGCACGCCGCGGUGAAUACGUUCCCGGGCCUUGUACACACCGCCCGUCAAGCCAUGGAAGCCGGGAGUACCCAAAGCCAGUAUCCUAACCGCAAGGGGGGAACUGUUUAAGGUAAAACCGGUGACUGGGGCUAAGUCGUAACAAGGUAGCCGAAUCUCUGAAGAUCCGCGCGACCAUCGC
RNAcentral lists this ribosomal RNA (1064 nucleotides) under uncultured bacterium. RNAcentral's name for it is "bacterial SSU rRNA". It matches the Rfam family "Bacterial small subunit ribosomal RNA", at positions 465 to 1533 of the family's 1533-position model. The record is from RNAcentral.